This 253-nucleotide ribosomal RNA is filed under the name uncultured bacterium. RNAcentral's name for it is "partial 16S ribosomal RNA". It matches the Rfam family "Bacterial small subunit ribosomal RNA", at positions 524 to 776 of the family's 1533-position model. The record is from RNAcentral.
UACGUAGGGUGCGAGCGUUAAUCGGAAUUACUGGGCGUAAAGCGUGCGCAGGCGGUUUUGUAAGCCAGAUGUGAAAGCCCCGGGCUUAACCUGGGAAUGGCAUUUGGGACUGCAAGGCUUGAGUGCGGCAGAGGAGACUGGAAUUCCUGGUGUAGCAGUGAAAUGCGUAGAUAUCAGGAGGAAUACCGAUGGCGAAGGCAGGUCUCUGGGCUGACACUGACGCUCAUGCACGAAAGCUAGGGGAGCAAACAGG